UAGGGAAUAUUAGUAAUGGGCGAAAGCCUGAACUAGCAACACCGCGUGUGCGAAGAAGGCCUUCGGGUUGUAAAGCACUUUUUGAGAGGAUGGGGAAGGACGGUACUCUCAGAAUAAGUCUCGGCUAACUACGUGCCAGCAGCCGCGGUAACACGUAGGGGGCAAACGUUAUCCGGAUUUACUGGGCGUAAAGCGCGUGUAGGCGGUUUGGUAAGUAGAGCGUGAAAGCUCCUGGCUCAACUGGGAGAGGUCGUUCUAAACUGCCGGACUAGAGGAUGGUAGAGGGAGGUGGAAUUCCGAGUGUGGCGGUGGAAUGCGCAGAUAUCCGGAGGAACACCAGUGGCGAAAGCGGCCUCCUGGACCACUCCUGACACUCAGACGCGAAAGCUAGGGUAGCAAACG
Molecule: ribosomal RNA, 402 nt
Filed under: uncultured prokaryote
Description: bacterial SSU rRNA
Rfam family: Bacterial small subunit ribosomal RNA
Source: RNAcentral